RNAcentral lists this non-coding RNA (277 nucleotides) under Promineifilum breve (SeqCode). The record is from RNAcentral. Lineage: Bacteria; Bacillati; Chloroflexota; Ardenticatenia; Promineifilales (SeqCode); Promineifilaceae (SeqCode).
GAGAAUGCGUUGACCGGGACGAGUAAUCGCCAAGUGCGCGCCAGAGAGCGGAUUGCCAGCGGCUGAGAGCGACCGCCGCGAACAAGGCGACGAAAACCACCCGGGAGCGGCCGACUGAACGGUUGAGGUGAACCCACGGUUUGCCUCCCAGGGCAGACGAAUCGUCUGCCCACCAACUAAGACGGCCCGGCCAGGCCCCGUUAUCGGCCCAAUCAAGAUCGCCGGACGCUUGCGCCCGGUGAAGUUGGGUGGAACCGCGACCGCCGUCGCCCCAAUA